Molecule: RNA transcript, 1206 nt
Organism: Cryptomeria japonica (Japanese cedar)
Lineage: Eukaryota; Viridiplantae; Streptophyta; Pinopsida; Cupressales; Cupressaceae
Gene name: pirin-like protein
Exons: 8
Source: RefSeq, a predicted model, not a curated record
AUUAUUUGCAAAGAAAAGGGGGGAAUUUCAUUAUUUGUAAGGAAGAGUAAAGAGUAAAGUGUUUUAAGGAUGAAUAACACUACUCCUUUUCUGAAAUCGCGCUCUGUAGCAAAGAAGGUGUUGGCCAGAGAGCAACAUGAAGGAGAUGGAGCCAUUGUCAGGCGCAGUAUUGGCAGACCAGAGUUGAAGUUUUUGGAUCCAUUUUUGUUACUGGAUGAAUUCUCAGUAAGUGCUCCUGCUGGCUUUCCAGACCAUCCUCACCGAGGUUUCGAGACUGUGACAUACAUGCUGGAGGGAGCCUUCAGCCAUGAAGACUUUGUAGGACAUAAGGGCACCAUCAAGGCUGGCGAUCUGCAGUGGAUGACUGCAGGCCGGGGUAUAGUCCACUCUGAAAUGCCAGCUGGAGCAGGAGUGCAACAUGGUUUGCAGUUGUGGAUAAAUCUUUCUUCCAAAGACAAGAUGAUUGAGCCUAAGUAUCAAGAUGUUCAAGGGAAAGACAUACCCAAAGUUGAGAAAGAUGGAGUGAAGGCCACUGUUAUAGCAGGAGAAGCUUUGGGCAUCAAAUCUCCAGUGUAUACAAGGACUCCCACAAUGUAUUUGGAUUUCAGGUUGGAAUGCAAAUCUGUACUUCACCAGCCUAUUCCAGAGAGUUGGAAUGCAUUUGUGUAUGUGUUGGAAGGGGAGGCGAGAUUUGGUGCUCCCAACUCACCUGCAGUGGGUGCUCAUCAUACACUUUUAUUGAGCAGUGGUGAUGGUUUGAGUGUGUGGAAUAACAAUGUGAAUAACAAGCCUUGCAGGUUCCUACUCAUUGGAGGGCAGCCGCUAAAUGAGCCAGUGGUUCAACAUGGGCCAUUCGUAAUGAGCACCAGACAAGAGAUAGUGCAAACGAUUCAAGACUAUCGUUUGGGCAGAAAUGGAUUUGGGAGAGCCAAUGGCUGGCAUUCUAAUAUUGCUCAAACUUGAUUUCGUUUCAUUCCCCAUCUCUAACCAUUGGCCUUGAGGGGAUGCAAAUCUGAAGUGAAGCGAAUCUGCUAUGGAGUACAUGAUAUUGUCCAAAGAUAUUUUCUUGUACCUACCAAUAAAGAUGGAGUGCAUACUUUUCCCAAUUGACCAGGCAAUUCACAUAGUUUCAUCUUUUAAAAUAUGCAGCAUUGAUAAGUUUUGUUAUUUUCAACCAAUGAGUAAAUGACUCAUGAUGAUGUGGUG